RNAcentral lists this ribosomal RNA (406 nucleotides) under uncultured bacterium. Its description in RNAcentral is "partial 16S ribosomal RNA". It matches the Rfam family "Bacterial small subunit ribosomal RNA", at positions 30 to 526 of the family's 1533-position model. The record is from RNAcentral.
AUUGAACGCUGGCGGCAGGCCUAACACAUGCAAGUCGAACGAGUGGCGGACGGGUGAGUAGUGUCGGGGAAACUGCCCGAUGGAGGGAGAUAACUACUGGAAACGGUCGCUAAUACCGCAUACCCUCGUAUGUGCCCAGAUGGGAUUAGCUAGUCGGUGGGGUAACGGCUCACCUAGGCGACGAUCCCUAGCUGGGCUGAGAGGAUGACCAGCCACACUGGAACUGAGACACGGUCCAGACUCCUACGGGAGGCAGCAGUGGGGAAUAUUGCACAAUGGGCGCAAGCCUGAUGCAGCCAUGCCGCGUGUAUGAAGAAGGCCUUAGGGUUGUAAAGUACUUUCAGUGAGGAGGCGUUACCGGCAGAAGAAGCACCGGCUAACUCCGUGCCAGCAGCCGCGGUAAUAC